Molecule: unclassified non-coding RNA, 2765 nt
Filed under: Leishmania donovani
Lineage: Eukaryota; Euglenozoa; Kinetoplastea; Trypanosomatida; Trypanosomatidae
Description: gene:LdHU3.26.2020(CDS-product:CDP-DAG_synthase_p utative)
Source: RNAcentral
AGUAUCACACGACUUACAGGUGCAUCCCACCUUCUGGACCACACACAUAUAUUUAUGUCCUGUGCCCCUUUUUGUUGUCCUUUGCUCAUUCUCUUCUUCGCCGUGUGCGCGCGUAUAGUUUUACAUAGCAUCGCGUCUCUCAGCACCCCCCCCUCCUCCCUUGAGUUCGCCCCGCUCUUCCCCAACGAGGUGCCUCCUUUCUACAGGCACUUCACACAGCGGUCAUAGUUUGGCUGGUUCUGCUCUUUCUCGAAAAGAACUAAGGAAGGAAAGCGAAAGACUACGUCUUCUUGAGUACGUCUGCAGCUCAUCUGUUCCCCCUCCAGACAGGCCAGCACGAACACUACAGACACACACAAACGUAGGCAUCUACUCUACGAAAAAAAUCUUCUCCACUUAAUAACUGGAGACUGCAGGGGCAGUCUCAUCUGUGCCUCCACCCCUCCCGUACCUACAAGCGAACGCAUGCGCACACCCUUUGUGUUCUAUGAGAACACUGUAGCAACAACAAAAAUAGAGAUUGAGAAGUCACGGUCUUCAAUGUGAGGUCAGGACAAGGGACGCGGCGCUCACUUACUUCCCUCACGUUCAUUCCCCAUAUACACACUCGCACCCUCUCUCCCAUUAUAGAAUGCCAAAGGAAAAGAAGCAGCGGGUUGUUCUGCUGCCGCUCAUCCCCAACGGCGGUGAUUUGAGCCCAGCUGCGGACGACACCAUGGCAAAGGGCACGCACAGUACGUGCGGCGAUGGCGCCACUGGUGGCAGCAGCCCCGCCACCGCCGCCGCGUCGGCAGCUGACGGCAAGAAGCUGGGGUACAAGGACGUCAUCAACCGCACCAUAUUCACGAUUCUUAUGGCGUACGUUUUUCUGGGCUGGAUCUCUGUCGGUAUCCGCUUUGGCCUCUUCCUGCUCUUUGUGAUUGAGAGCACCAUGUUCUACGAGGUAACCCGGAUCAAUCAGCGGGUACGCAAAGAGCGUCAGCUGCCGUCGGUGCUCUUCAUCAAGUGGUACUUCUUCGUCGUCUGCUACGUUUUUGUUAGUCUCUUUUGCAAUCGCGAACCGCUGCAAAACACCUUUGCGUGGUUUGACAAGGUAUACGACCUGCUUCCCUUCGCGUUCUUCUGUUGUGUCAUGCUAGGGCUCGUCGUCUUCGUGCUGAGCCUGCGCAAGGGCAUGUACCGCUAUCAAUUCAUCCAGUUCACAUGGACGGCAAUGAUGCUGAUGCUGUGUCAGGUGCAGUUUGCUGGCGAAAUGCGCAACAUGGUGCGCGGCAUGAUCUGGUUCCUGCUGCCAGUGAGCUGUGUCGUCAACAACGACAUUUGGGCCUACAUCUUUGGCAAGUGUUUCGGGCGAAAAAAGCUGCUGUCCCUGUCGCCGAAGAAGACGGUGGAGGGGUUCCUCGGCGCGUUCCUCUUCACAGUCAUUUGGUCCUUCUGGUUCUGCGGCUUUCUGAGCCACUUCCCGCAGAUGUACUGCCCCGCCGUGGGCUUCACCAACGCCGUCAACUCUCACUGCGAGCGCAACCCCGUCUUCCUCCAGAAGGAGGUUGCCUUUCCGCAGUGGAUACAGCAGGUGUCGGGUGGUAUGCUGACCACCUUUCUCGUCUCGCCAGCGCAGAAGCACGCCCUCGUGCUGGGAACGUUUGCGUCGCUCCUCGCGCCGUUCGGCGGCUUCUUCGCAAGUGGGCUGAAGCGUGCCUUCAAGCUCAAGGACUUUGGUGACCUCAUCCCCGGCCACGGCGGCAUGACGGACCGUAUGGACUGUCAGGGCCUCAUGGGCCUCUUCACGUACUGCUACCUCCGCACCUACGUCUUCCACGAAACCAAGUGCCCCGGUGCGAACGACAUUACGCGCUGCGCCCUUCGCAUGGACGCCGAGCGCCGUCAGACCUUGGUGAACCAGCUGCUGCAGUCGCUGCAGGCAUAGCAGGACGCAGGUGACAAGAAGAUGUGCGUGUGUGAAAGAGGCAAGAGAGGACUCACACCCACAAGGCGGGCUCAUAUGCAGCGGAACAAAGCAAAGAGGGACAGAUGCAAAAAAGAAGAAAAAAGGAAAUCAGCCAGCUGUCGCGUUCCUGGGCUGUUCAGACAUGCGCGCAGCAGCGGGGCGUUGCGGCAUGCAUCGGAGGUCCCUCCUCAUAACGUUUGCUUCUCUUCUUUUUUUUUUCGGCCUAUCAAUAUGAAUGUGUGUGUUUUUGUAUGUGUGUUUCUUGCGGGUUCAUCAGUCAUGUGUCUGUGCAUCCCCAUCCCCUCCUCAUGGCUGCACCUUUUUGUGCUCUCUCACCACUCAAUCCACUCUGCUGUCCCCCUCACGAUGCGUCGACUCUUCCCUCCUUACCUCCCCCUGUGCGAUGGUGGAGUGGUGUGAGCUCUGCGAGAUGGAAGAAAAGGAAAGGGGUCCACGUGAUGAACGGCGCUGUUGCAUUGAUUGCUGACGGCUUGGACGACGAUAUGCAAUAAAGGAAGGAGAUUACGUUGUGCUCUCUGUUUGCUGGUGGCUCCUGACGCCCCUUUUCACACACAAACGCACGUACAUGUCCAGAAGGUUUGUUCGGCCCGUCCUAGCCCGCCCAAAAAAAAACUGCACCACGCCCUCCGCGCCCCCCCUCCUCCUCCCAUCGCUGACACUCUUCUUAACGACAGCCCAAGGUAAAAAAAAGCCGCAUCAGCCUUUUUUCUAUAUUUAACCUUUGCAAGCCAGCAGGCUCCGCAAGAAUGAUAACCGCCCUUUUUAUGCGAAUGACGGGGGACGAGGUGAAGGAACG